This 253-nucleotide ribosomal RNA is filed under the name uncultured bacterium. Its description in RNAcentral is "partial 16S ribosomal RNA". It matches the Rfam family "Bacterial small subunit ribosomal RNA", at positions 524 to 776 of the family's 1533-position model. The record is from RNAcentral.
UACGUAGGGUGCAAGCGUUGUCCGGAAUUAUUGGGCGUAAAGAGCUCGUAGGCGGUUCGUCACGUCGGCUGUGAAAUCCCGAGGCUCAACCUCGGGUCUGCAGUCGAUACGGGCGGACUGGAGUACUGCAGGGGAGACUGGAAUUCCUGGUGUAGCGGUGAAAUGCGCAGAUAUCAGGAGGAACACCGGUGGCGAAGGCGGGUCUCUGGGCAGUAACUGACGCUGAGGAGCGAAAGCAUGGGGAGCGAACAGG